CAUUCCGCGAGACAGAUUCAGAUGACUGAAGGCUGAAAUGAUAUUCUAGAAAAUUUUAUGCAAGUGCCUGAUCAUUUCAUCUUGAGUAAAGUCUCUAGCAUGCUGACAUUAAGGCCCAUUCAAUACUUUGCUGCUGCAGUUAGACUGUGAUCCACAGGAAAAAAAAAAGUGUGAAUAUCCUUGUCAUUCUUCAUAGAUUCAAUUAAGUCUGUGAAUUGUAUAG
RNAcentral lists this unclassified non-coding RNA (223 nucleotides) under Hevea brasiliensis (rubber tree). Lineage: Eukaryota; Viridiplantae; Streptophyta; Magnoliopsida; Malpighiales; Euphorbiaceae. The record is from RNAcentral.